CCUACGGGUGACAGCAGUGGGGGAUAUUGCACAAUGGGGGGAACCCUGAUGCAGCGACGCCGCGUGGGUGAAGGAGCGUUUCGGCGCGUAAAGCCCUAUCGGCAGGGAAGAAGAUGACGGUACCUGACCAAGAAGCCCCGGCUAACUACGUGCCAGCAGCCGCGGUAAUACGUAUGGAGCAAGCGUUAUCCGGAUUUACUGGGUGUAAAGGGAGCGCAGACGGCAGGGCAAGUCUGAUGUGAAAGUCCGGGGCUCAACCCCGGGACUGCAUUGGAAACUGUCCGGCUAGAGUGCAGGAGAGGUAAGUGGAAUUCCUAGUGUAGCGGUGAAAUGCGUAGAUAUUAGGAGGAACACCAGUGGCGAAGGCGGCUUACUGGACUGUAACUGACGUUGAGGCUCGAAAGCGUGGGGAGCAAACAGGAUUAGAUACCCCGGUAUC
This 439-nucleotide ribosomal RNA is filed under the name uncultured bacterium. RNAcentral describes it as "partial 16S ribosomal RNA". It matches the Rfam family "Bacterial small subunit ribosomal RNA", at positions 338 to 794 of the family's 1533-position model. The record is from RNAcentral.